RNAcentral lists this ribosomal RNA (250 nucleotides) under uncultured Chroococcidiopsis sp. Its description in RNAcentral is "partial 16S ribosomal RNA". It matches the Rfam family "Bacterial small subunit ribosomal RNA", at positions 796 to 1044 of the family's 1533-position model. The record is from RNAcentral. Lineage: Bacteria; Bacillati; Cyanobacteriota; Cyanophyceae; Chroococcidiopsidales; Chroococcidiopsidaceae.
CUAGCUGUAAACGAUGGAUACUAGGCGUUGAGAGUAUCGACCCUCUCAGUGUCGUAGCUAACGCGUUAAGUAUCCCGCCUGGGGAGUACGCGCGCAAGCGUGAAACUCAAAGGAAUUGACGGGGGCCCGCACAAGCGGUGGAGUAUGUGGUUUAAUUCGAUGCAACGCGAAGAACCUUACCAGGGCUUGACAUGUCCGGAACCCCGCCCAAAGGCGGGGGUGCCUACGGGAACCGGAACACAGGUGGUGC